GCUGGAGAGAGGUCACUGCACUAGCUCCCUGCAAGGCAGGACAUGCCAGAGGAUUGAGAGGGACUCGAGCAGCUACUCAGUGUCUGCCCUUUUCCAUACAUGGUGCCUUUUAUUAACUCCUUGAAAACAGCUGCAUUGAACGCUGCUGUUUUGUGUUAACUUCUGAAGAGCUGUGAGGCUCCUAAGCAGAGCCUGCCUAGAAAAGGAAACAGCAGAAGGAGACUGGUGUGCCAUCUCCUGAAAUAUGAGUAGAAAAAAAGCAUCAAGGAAAAGAUCAUGGAAGUACUUAAGAAUUUCAGAAGUUACUACCCUUGGAAGAGAAAGAAAAACUUCAGAGAGACACUUCCAGAUACCAGAAGAAAGGGCAGUACCCCUCCUUUGCAGGGAGCCCCUCAGGGAGCAUUCUGCACAGUCAGAGGAGGGAAGAAAUGCUCUUCUCUGUGCUUCAGCCCAUAGCCUUAUCUUUUUGAUGACUACAGU
Long non-coding RNA from Manacus vitellinus (golden-collared manakin), 480 nucleotides. RefSeq lists it as uncharacterized. The transcript has 3 exons. The record is from RefSeq and is a predicted model, not a curated record. Lineage: Eukaryota; Metazoa; Chordata; Aves; Passeriformes; Pipridae.